AGUGAACGCUGGCGGUAGACCUAACACAUGCAAGUCGAACGGCAGCACAGUAAGAGCUUGCUCUUACGGGUGGCGAGUGGCGGACGGGUGAGGAAUACAUCGGAAUCUACUUUUUCGUGGGGGAUAACGUAGGGAAACUUACGCUAAUACCGCAUACGACCUACGGGUGAAAGCAGGGGAUCUUCGGACCUUGCGCGAUUGAAUGAGCCGAUGUCGGAUUAGCUAGUUGGCGGGGUAAAGGCCCACCAAGGCGACGAUCCGUAGCUGGUCUGAGAGGAUGAUCAGCCACACUGGAGCUGAGACACGGUCCAGACUCCUACGGGAGGCAGCAGUGGGGAAUAUUGGACAAAGGGCGCAAGCCUGAUCCAGCCAUACCGCGUGGGUGAAGAAGGCCUUCGGGUUGUAAAGCCCUUUUGUUGGGAAAGAAAAGCAGCAGGUUAAUACCCCGCUGUUCUGACGGUACCCAAAGAAUAAGCACCGGCUAACUUCGUG
This 492-nucleotide ribosomal RNA is filed under the name uncultured bacterium. RNAcentral's name for it is "partial 16S ribosomal RNA". It matches the Rfam family "Bacterial small subunit ribosomal RNA", at positions 29 to 507 of the family's 1533-position model. The record is from RNAcentral.